GACGAACGCUGGCGGCGUGCUUAACACAUGCAAGUCGAACGAAGAGCGAUGGAAGCUUGCUUCUAUCAAUCUUAGUGGCGAACGGGUGAGUAACGCGUAAUCAACCUGCCCUUCAGAGGGGGACAACAGUUGGAAACGACUGCCAAUACCGCAUACGAUCUAAUCUCGGCAUCGAGGAUAGAUGAAAGGUGGCCUCUACAUGUAAGCUAUCACUGAAGGAGGGGAUUGCGUCUGAUUAGCUAGUUGGAGGGGUAACGGCCCACCAAGGCGAUGAUCAGUAGCCGGUCUGAGAGGAUGAACGGCCACAUUGGGACUGAGACACGGCCCAGACCCCUACGGGAGGCAGCAGUGGGGAAUCUUCCGCAAUGGACGAAAGUCUGACGGAGCAACGCCGCGUGAGUGAUGACGGCCUUCGGGUUGUAAAGCUCUGUUAAUCGGGACGAAAGGCCUUCUUGCGAAUAGUGAGAAGGAUUGACGGUACCGGAAGAGAAAGCCACGGCUAACUACGUG
This 510-nucleotide ribosomal RNA is filed under the name uncultured bacterium. Its description in RNAcentral is "partial 16S ribosomal RNA". It matches the Rfam family "Bacterial small subunit ribosomal RNA", at positions 28 to 507 of the family's 1533-position model. The record is from RNAcentral.